This 1034-nucleotide long non-coding RNA is filed under the name Struthio camelus australis. RNAcentral's name for it is "lncRNA (ENSSCUG00000006163.1)". The record is from RNAcentral. Lineage: Eukaryota; Metazoa; Chordata; Aves; Struthioniformes; Struthionidae.
UUCUCUGUUGGAGAGUUCAGGAGUGAGCAGUUUUAAAAGUCAUGGAAAAGGAAGAGGGCAUAAUUACCAAAAAUUCAAGAUCCUGUGAACUGAAGGACAGAGGAAACACUAAACUAGUCAAAACCUUUCCUCUCCAUCCCCUGCACGGAAAUUCUGGUAAUGCAUCGCACAGCAAAAUCCUUUGGGACUCUAGGAUGUGGACUUCACUUGAAGACCAACGGCGAAAAUGGCUCAAGCAAAUGAAGCAAAUGUGCCUCCGACAAAAUUGUGCUGUCCUGUCCUCUGUUAUGACCAUUUUAUUAUGGUGACUGGUGAAAGAGGCAACGUUUAAUCUAAGUUCUAUGAAACUAUCUGUAAAGAAAAUAACAUAUUUUUCUACUUUGAAAGGUACGUUCCACAUGAAUUUACAUUUUUAAGUAUGUUUAAGAAUUUUUUUCCUUUUAAAGAUGGUGACAUCUGAAUCAUAAAAAUAGUCUAUCGAUGUUUAUAUUUGUGACAAAAUAUCUCUACAGAUAUAUAUGAUCACAACAGUCGUCAGUAUAUUUUUAAGAAUAUCAAAAUAGCUUUGGCUGAUGUGCUUAAAAAGUGCCUUGUUUCAUUAGAUUCUGCAGAAUGUAAAGCCCUCUUUCAAAACUGAUAUAGCAUUUCUAGUUGCAAGAUCGUUUUAUAUUGUGAACUUUUUAUUAAAUAUGCAUAUUCUAGUAGCCUCUAGAGACUUUUAAUUUAAAACAUAAAUUAUAUGUAAUUUCAAACUCUGCUAUCUCUGACUUUAGUCACAGAACUCACUUUUGGGACUGCUACACAUGGCUAACGGUAAUAUAUCAAUGCUUCCAAUAGACGUUUUAGCUAUAUGAGGUCAUUACAAAUAUAGCUUUAGCUCUUCCUUAAGUAGACCCCAUUGUUAAUAUAAAUAUGUAUCUGUAAUUAUUGACAUUUAUAUGAUUUGGCCCCUGUACUAAAUUAUUGAUACAGUGAUGAUAAAAGGGCCUUACCAACUCUUACCUAAAUAAACUGUCCUUCCUAACUACCUUCCA